GAGGGGCUGGCGGGCAUGGGUAGUGGGGGCACCCACGUUUCAGGGAGCUGUGUCCAUCCCAGUGUACCCCCGCAGCUGGAGCCGAACGUGGCGCGCGUGGGGCGCGUGGCAUCGCGGCUGUGCCAGGAGCUGCGGCUGGCACGGCCGCCCGUGUGCCGCCAGGCCGUGCAGCUGUUCCAGCGCGACGUGGUGGCGGCCUGGGCGCGCUCAGUGCUGCGGCCGCCUGAGGCCUGCGGGCUCCUGCUGGGCCCCCGCUGCGGCCACUGGGACAUCCUGGGCGCCUGGAACCUGUCCCUGCCCGCCGCCCCCAAGCCGCCGGUGCGGCCCCCCCUGCCGCCGCCGCCCGGUGCGCCCACCGCCCGCAUCCUGUUCCUCACUGACCUGCACUGGGACCGCCGGUACACGCCCGGCAGCGCUGCCGCCUGCCCCGACCCACUGUGCUGCCGCGGGGCCCCCCACGACGGGCCGGGGGCCGCGGGGUUCUGGGGCACCUAUGGCAAGUGCGACCUGCCCCUGCACACCAUCGACGCGCUGCUGGCACAGCUCCCCAACGCCAGCAGCCGCACCAGCGACGGCUCCGGCGACGCCAGUAACGGCACCGGAGGGUUCGCGGCCGCGUACUGGACCGGGGACAUCCCCGCGCACGACGUGUGGCAGCAGAGCCGCGGGGACCAGCUGCGGGCACUGCGCACGGUGACGGCCCUGCUGCGCGCCCGCCUCGGGGGGCUGCGCGUCUUCCCGGCCGUGGGCAACCACGAGGCCACCCCGGUGAACGCCUUCCCCCCGCCCUACGUGCGUGGGAACCAGUCGGCCGCCUGGCUCUACGACGCCAUGGCCGAGGCCUGGCAGGGCUGGCUGCCCCCCGCCGCCCUGCGCACCCUGCGGGCCGGUGGGUUCUACACAGCGCAGGUCUGGCCCGGGCUGCGCCUCGUCUCCCUCAACAUGAACUUCUGCUCCCAGGCCAACUUCUGGCUCCUCAUCAACGCCACUGAUCCCGCAGGGCAGCUCCAGUGGCUCAUGGGGGUCCUGGCAGAUGCUGAGCGUGAUGGGGAGAAGGUGCACAUCAUUGGGCACAUCCCCCCGGCCCACUGCCUGCACAGCUGGAGCUGGAACUACUACCGCAUCAUCAGCAGGUUCGAGGGCACCAUCGCAGCACAGUUCUUCGGGCACACACACCUGGAUGAGUUCGAGCUGUUCUACGAUGAGGAGACGCUGUCACGCCCUGUCUCCAUCGCCUUCGUGGCACCGAGUGUCACCACCUACAUCAACCUCAACCCUGGGUACCGCGUGUACGAGGUGGCUGGUUCCUACCCUGGGAGCUCCCACGCAGUGCUGGACCAUGAGACCUUCAUCCUGAACCUGACGGAGGCCAACGCGGCCCCCCCGGGGACGCCCCCCCGCUGGCAGCGGCUCUACGGCGCGCGCGAGGCCUACGGGCUGCCCGCGGCCUUCCCGGCCGACUGGGACCUGCUGGUGCGGCGGCUGCAGGACGACGAGCGGCUCUUCCAGCGCUUCUGGUUCCACCUGCACAAGGGGCACCCUCCCCGCGAGCCCUGCGGGGGCCCCUGCAAGGCCGCCCUGCUCUGUGCCCUGCGCUCCGGCCGCGCCGGCGACCCCGCGCUCUGCCGGCCCCUGCGCCCCGCCCUGCCCUUCCCACGCAUUCAGGAGCUCUGGCGACAGCGGCGGCUCUGCUGACACCGGCACACUGGGAGCGGGGUUGGAGUCGGCACAUGGUCACACUGGGAGCGGGCGGGGUUGGAGUCAGCACAUGGUCACACUGGGAGCGGGGCCGGGAGCGGGGUCGGCACAUGGUCAUGCCAGGACUGGGUUCGGUACUGGCACGUGGUCCUCGCGUCUCACCAGAUGCACAAUAAAGGCACAGUGGGCCCCACCAUCCCUCCCCA
Molecule: RNA transcript, 1904 nt
Organism: Corapipo altera (White-ruffed manakin)
Lineage: Eukaryota; Metazoa; Chordata; Aves; Passeriformes; Pipridae
Gene: SMPD1
Gene name: sphingomyelin phosphodiesterase 1
Exons: 6
Source: RefSeq, a predicted model, not a curated record